RNAcentral lists this long non-coding RNA (485 nucleotides) under Volvox carteri. Its description in RNAcentral is "long non-coding RNA (VCAR_LNC003025)". The record is from RNAcentral. Lineage: Eukaryota; Viridiplantae; Chlorophyta; Chlorophyceae; Chlamydomonadales; Volvocaceae.
CCAACUGCUUGUAUGUUCCGCCUACGCGUCACAAGUAAUAUUAAUUAUUGCAUGUAACAUACUUAUUCACAAGAUGCAUAAGAAACUUGCUUUUUCGCGCUGUAUUCGUGCUAGUGUGAGAGUACAAUAAUAUACGUGCGCUGCCAUCACCCUAAAUUAUCUUCAUCUCUAGGAUGUUUCAGCCGGGCGGCUUAUCUCUGAUAAUAAAGCGGGAGCAGGGGUUUGCCGCAUGCAGUGACAGCGGUAGCUAGUAGCUAUUGUGCGCGAAGCGUACAUGAUGAUGUGUGGCCUGCUGCUGCCUGAGGUUGCGCCACGAACGCGCCCAAGAGCAGGCGCCUUUGAUGCUGUCGAUGCGCCCCAGAAUAACGCGGCGCUAGAGCCCCAAGGGGGAAAGAGCGGGAUGAGUCCCAAGCCACAAACCCCAGACAUGUCACAACCUGGACGAGUCCGCAAGCGAGAUGUCAUUCAGGACGUACGUAACCCAG